This is an RNA transcript of Tribolium castaneum (red flour beetle), 2751 nucleotides long. RefSeq lists it as uncharacterized. The record is from RefSeq and is a predicted model, not a curated record. Lineage: Eukaryota; Metazoa; Arthropoda; Insecta; Coleoptera; Tenebrionidae. The transcript is spliced from 5 exons.
AAUGCCAUUACUAAAUGUCCGAUAGGUGGUUAUAACGUCAACUUUAAACCGAAAUAACUUGAGUUAGAGAGCAGAUACUAAGAAACGGUUUUCACUACUGUAAUAAUCGUUUUUCUACUUCGGUUUCGUACUGAGGUCAUUACAAUACGCGAUUUGCGAUUUGCUUAUCGUACCUAAUAUCUAACGCAGUGCUAUAAUAAUUACACUAAAAACCAGGGUAAUUUAGUUGGAUAAUGUUAACAACCUAGUUGUUUGAUAAUUAUAUGAGAGAACUGUCAUUGUCAAUCGGGACCUCUUUCAAGUGCAUAAUUUAAUCAAAUUAAUCAAAUACGAACGAGGCUGUUGUAUCAUUCCUGAUAUCUUCGAACCCUCUUCGAACACCAUUUGAAGCAGAAAGGUAGUAGAAAGUAGUUUCGUAGUAGAAGUAGAAAAAAUUUUGUAUGAUAUCUUGUUUAUAAGGCAUUUUGUCGCACUUACACUAUUAUCGCUAUUUUGCAUAAUUAAGAUAUGCUCAUUUUCAUCGUUGGAGGGGUUGUCCCUGCGAGUUGCUAAAGUCCAUUAGUCACCUUUAAAUGUUAGAAAAGUAAUAACUUUUUUUCCUAACCCAUAAAUACGCGCUAUCAGUGUGACGUAGACAUUUGAGGUAGGUCAGCACCUUAAAGCUAAACAAUCGCCAUUUUCAAUGCUUUUCUUAUGGGCAUUUAAAAGUUUUUCGUAUUUCUUUAAUGCUAGAAGUGUAGGAACAUUACUUUUACAGAGAAAUGAUAGCUAUGAAAAAUGCAAUGUCGUUUCUUAAAGAUUUUAGCAACUGAGCUAAUAUUUCUUUUUUCUUAAUUUGGACAUCAUAUUGAUGUAAAUUAUUAUGUGGCCUUUUAAAACUGAGGGAAAAAUGGUUUGCCACACUAAUGACAUUGGAUUUCUUCUGAAUGACGAAUUCAUGGGGUGCAACCGGCGCAACCCCAAUAAACGGGUUGUUUUCUGUCCCCCUCCCCCAUCACGAGGGAUGAAUAGCAGGUAUACGAGGGUAGAGGGUUCAGGCACAUACAUGGUUGAAAGUAGUACGGGUUGUGAGUUCUGUGCUUCUUUCGUGAGUGUCUUUUGUUAUCGUGUUUUUUCCGAUCGUUCUCCAUAUCUUCGUGUUCUUGAAUUUUUAAAAUUCUGUUUUUCCAAGACAUUAUCUCAUUUUUGUGGUACAUCAUUAGGUAUGAUUUGUGAAUAAUAUUUUGUUGCGAUACUUUGAUAGUUCAUGUGUAGUAGGUUUUUACAUCACAACUAUGGGAAUGUGUUGGGCUCCAGAUUGCAAACACUAUAGUACUCGCGAUAAAUGCCAUUUUUUUAGUUUUCCUAAGUCGGGAAAAGAACGAGCACUAUGGAAAAAAUUGUUGAGAAGAGAUGUAGAACCCGGACCAGGAGCCUACGUUUGCAGCUGCCAUUUUCGGGAUGGAAGAAAGGAAAAUGGUCCUGAAUUAUUUUUGCACAAUAUCGCAAAAAGAGCCUAUUUUCAAGUGGAAUCUCCAGAAAAAAAAAAGAUGAAAAAACAAGGACUCCCUUCUUGUUCUAGUUCCGCUGAAUCAUUAAGUGUUGAUAUACCGGAAGAAACAGUACCAUCGACAAUGAAUUUAGAGGAAGUGCCAUCGACGUCUACAGCCGUAGUUGCAGCACCAGCAGAUAUAAUUCAAGAUGCUCCGUUAGAAUCUAUGGGUGUGCAAGCACCCUUGGUGUCACAUGCGGCUCUUGAAGCAGAAAUGUAUUUUCUCAAAAAGGAAAAUGCUGAACUUAAAGCAAAAAUACAAUAUCUGACAGUACGAUUUUGCUAUGAAAAUGUUCAAGGAAAUGACAAACUCAUUGUUUUAUAUACCGGUCUUCCCAAUAGCCAGAUUUUCGAAGCAUUGUUUCACUUAAUCGAAAAGUUGGACAUAAAAUAUUACCACAAAUGGACAGUCCAAAAGUUAACUAGAAUUGACCAACUCUUUUUAACCCUAGUAAAAUUACGACUCAAUUUCCCUCAACUUGAUUUGGCGCAACGCUUUGGGGUUGCCCAAAGCACAGUUUCUAAUAUUAUUUUAACAUUUGUCCAUGUAAUAUAUGAAAUUUUAUAUAAACAGUUUAUGACGACAAUGCCUUCGCGCGAAAAAAAUAAAUCUUGCUUGCCAACAUGUUUUAGCAAUUUUACUAAUUGUAGAGCAGUUCUAGAUUGUACCGAAAUUUUCACUGUGGUAUCACGUAAGUCUAUGUCAACACAGAAAUUAACAUAUAGUACUUACAAACAUCAUAAUACUUUCAAAGGGCUAAUUGGAGUUGCACCCAAUGGUGUCAUCACAUUUGUAAGUGAUUUAUACGUGGGAUCAACUUCUGAUCAAAAAGUUGUUUUAAAUUGUGGAAUAAUCGACAUGUUAAAAACUGGAGAUAUGAUUUUAGCCGAUAAGGGAUUUUUGAUCCAAAAUAUUCUGCCACCAGGGGUCACUUUGAAUAUUCCACCUUUUUUAUCAAAUGUCCAAUUUACACCAGAGCAAGUUAAGUGUACCGAAAAUAUUGCACGUGCAAGAAUACACGUCGAAAGGGCAAUACGCCGAUUAAAAUGUUAUCAUAUUUUAAAUUUUUUGCCAGAGUCUUUGUGCCACUAUGGAGAUAUUGUUUUUAAAGCGACUGCCGCUUUAACAAACCUCCAAUUUCCAUUAAUUAAAGAGGUAGCAGAAUUGUUUCAGGAUUGUGAUGAUUAAAAUAAUGUAAAAUAAAAACCAUCUAUUUAUA